GACGAACGCUGGCGGCGUGCUUAACACAUGCAAGUCGAACGGAAAGGCCCUGCUUUUGUGGGGUGCUCGAGUGGCGAACGGGUGAGUAACACGUGAGUAACCUGCCCUUGACUUUGGGAUAACUUCAGGAAACUGGGGCUAAUACCGGAUAGGAGCUCCUGCUGCAUGGUGGGGGUUGGAAAGUUUCGGCUGUUGGGGAUGGACUCGCGGCUUAUCAGCUUGUUGGUGGGGUAGUGGCUUACCAAGGCUUUGACGGGUAGCCGGCCUGAGAGGGUGACCGGCGACAUUGGGACUGAGAUACGGCCCAGAAUCCUACGGGAGGCAGCAGUGGGGAAUAUUGCACAAUGGGCGGAAGCCUGAUGCAGCAACGCCGCGUGCGGGAUGACGGCCUUCGGGUUGUAAACCGCUUUCGCCUGUGACGAAGCGUGAGUGACGGUAAUGGGUAAAGAAGCACCGGCUAACUACGUG
Molecule: ribosomal RNA, 468 nt
Filed under: uncultured bacterium
Lineage: Bacteria
Description: partial 16S ribosomal RNA
Rfam family: Bacterial small subunit ribosomal RNA
Source: RNAcentral